GUGCCGUGAUGAAGUCCUUAGAACUAUGCUAGUGUAUAAAGAAAGGAUUUAUCAUAUAGUUCUUAAAUAUGUUUGCAAUCAAAUGAUAUGUCAUUACAGGAUAAUGACGUUUAUCGAGUGGAGGUCAUUUGUGCCAUAUGGGUUGGUUGUCCUCUUAAUGAUGGAGUGUGGUGACACUGGUAUGGCAUACAGAUGAGAUAUAGAGGUACAUCAUCACUGAA
This 221-nucleotide long non-coding RNA is filed under the name Elaeis guineensis (African oil palm). Its description in RNAcentral is "long non-coding RNA (EGUI_LNC058055)". The record is from RNAcentral. Lineage: Eukaryota; Viridiplantae; Streptophyta; Magnoliopsida; Arecales; Arecaceae.